RNAcentral lists this ribosomal RNA (264 nucleotides) under uncultured Aquabacterium sp. Its description in RNAcentral is "partial 16S ribosomal RNA". It matches the Rfam family "Bacterial small subunit ribosomal RNA", at positions 355 to 611 of the family's 1533-position model. The record is from RNAcentral. Lineage: Bacteria; Pseudomonadati; Pseudomonadota; Betaproteobacteria; Burkholderiales; Sphaerotilaceae.
UGGGGAAGUUUAUGGACAAUGGGCGCAAGCCUGAUCCAGCAAUGCCGCGUGCAGGAAGAAGGCCUUCGGGUUGUAAACUGCUUUUGUCAGGGAAGAAAUCUUCUGGGUUAAUACCUCGGGAGGAUGACGGUACCUGAAGAAUAAGCACCGGCUAACUACGUGCCAGCAGCCGCGGUAAUACGUAGGGUGCGAGCGUUAAUCGGAAUUACUGGGCGUAAAGCGUGCGCAGGCGGCUUUGCAAGACAGAUGUGAAAUCCCGGCUCA